Molecule: ribosomal RNA, 358 nt
Filed under: uncultured bacterium
Lineage: Bacteria
Description: bacterial SSU rRNA
Rfam family: Bacterial small subunit ribosomal RNA
Source: RNAcentral
AAUCAACGCUGGCGGCGUGCCUCAGACAUGCAAGUCGAACGCGAAAGUUCCCUUCGGGGAGCGAGUAGAGUGGCGCACGGGUGAGUAACACGUAGGUAAUUUACCUUCGGGUGGGGAAGUAACAGCCGGAAACGGCUGCUAAUACCGCAUAAUGCAGCGGCUCGACAUCGAGACAGUUGUUAAAGCGGGGGAGUCGAAAGACCCCGCGUCUGAAGAGGAGCCUGCGGCGGAUUAGCAGUUGGUAAGGUAAUGGCUUACCAAGGCGACGAUCCGUAGCCGGCCUGAGAGGGCGGUCGGCCACACUGACACUGACAUACGGGUCAGACUCCUACGGGAGGCAGCAGUCGGGAAUUUUGGG